CGACCGCCGUCUCAGCCGCCUCAGCCGCGGUCGCCGCCGCCUCGGCCGACUUACGCUCCGCCGCCGCCUUCUCACCCGCCUCGCCCGCCUCGUCCCGACCCCGCCCCGAUCCCGCCAGGGCCUCCCGGCCUCUCCCCGCCGGCCCGCGGGCUCGCCGUCCGGCGCAGGGCAGGUCGGUGGGCUCCACGACAAAAGUCAACCCUUCUGUAAAUCACCUGCUGUGGUUAUGAUGCUCUGAGUUCAAUACGUCUGCACCUUUGCUGUCUAUGGAUCUGCUCUAACCUUAUAGCCUGCUUAUGGGGGAAGGUGAGUUGCUGUCUGUUGUUGGCAUGUUUGUUUACCAAGAGUAUGUAACGA
Molecule: long non-coding RNA, 357 nt
Filed under: Piliocolobus tephrosceles (Ugandan red Colobus)
Lineage: Eukaryota; Metazoa; Chordata; Mammalia; Primates; Cercopithecidae
Description: lncRNA (ENSPTEG00000029268.1)
Source: RNAcentral